Molecule: ribosomal RNA, 438 nt
Filed under: uncultured bacterium
Lineage: Bacteria
Description: partial 16S ribosomal RNA
Rfam family: Bacterial small subunit ribosomal RNA
Source: RNAcentral
CUACGGGGUGCAGCAGUGGGGAAUCUUAGACAAUGGGGGAAACCCUGAUCUAGCCAUGCCGCGUGAGCGACGACGGCCCUAGGGUUGUAAAGCUCUUUCAGCAGGGAAGAUAAUGACGGUACCUGCAGAAGAAGUCCCGGCUAACUCCGUGCCAGCAGCCGCGGUAAUACGGAGGGGACUAGCGUUGUUCGGAAUUACUGGGCGUAAAGGCGCGUAGGCGGAUUGUUAAGUCGGGGGUGAAAUCCCGGGGCUCAACCCCGGAACUGCCCUCGAUACUGGCAGUCUUGAGUUCGAGAGAGGUGAGUGGAAUUCCGAGUGUAGAGGUGACAUUCGUAGAUAUUCGGAGGAACACCAGUGGCGAAGGCGGCUCACUGGCUCGAUACUGACGCUGAGGUGCGAAAGCGUGGGGAGCAAACAGGAUUAGAUACCCUCGUAGUC